This 203-nucleotide unclassified non-coding RNA is filed under the name Hevea brasiliensis (rubber tree). Lineage: Eukaryota; Viridiplantae; Streptophyta; Magnoliopsida; Malpighiales; Euphorbiaceae. The record is from RNAcentral.
CACUCCUAGAAUUAGAAGGGAACAGUGAAGUUUGUAGCCAGUAAGAUAAGGAUUUAGCAGCAACAGUAAUCUAAGAAGGGUCAUUCCCUGGAAACAAAUGAUCAGAUUGCUGUCACCUUCCAGGCUGUGGCUAUACAGAAUGCAUUUUCUGAACAGAUUUAUUUACAUGAUUCAAGGAUCAUUGGAUUGGAGUUUAGUUGGAG